Molecule: ribosomal RNA, 258 nt
Filed under: uncultured bacterium
Lineage: Bacteria
Description: partial 16S ribosomal RNA
Rfam family: Bacterial small subunit ribosomal RNA
Source: RNAcentral
UACGGAGGGAGCUAGCGUUGUUCGGAAUUACUGGGCGUAAAGCGCGCGUAGGCGGCUUUGUAAGUUAGAGGUGAAAGCCCCGGGGGCUCAACCCCCGGAACUGCCUUUAAGACUGCAUCGCUUGAAUCCAGGAGAGGUGAGUGGAAUUCCGAGUGUAGAGGUGAAAAUUCGUAGAUAUUCGGAAGAACACCAGUGGCGAAGGCGGCUCACUGGACUGGUAUUGACGCUGAUGGUGCGAAAGCGUGGGGAGCAAACAGG